RNAcentral lists this ribosomal RNA (382 nucleotides) under uncultured eukaryote. Its description in RNAcentral is "partial 18S ribosomal RNA". It matches the Rfam family "Eukaryotic small subunit ribosomal RNA", at positions 592 to 976 of the family's 1831-position model. The record is from RNAcentral.
UGUAAGCGUAUACCAAAGUUGUUGCAGUUAAAACGCUCGUAGUCGGAAUUUGGCAGUUCCGGAUGUGUGCACGUCGUGUGCGCACUUCGCGGGGAUUGCUUUUGUGGUCUUGCGUAGGAUGAGGCACUUUUAUUAGUGAACGUCCUCACGCAACCACUUUUUACUGUGAGAAAAUCAGAGUGCUCAAAGCAGGCAUUUGCCGUGAAUGUAUUAGAAUGGAAUAAUAGAAUAGGACUUGGUUCUAUUUUGUUGGUUUGUUGGGACUGAGUAAUGAUUAAGAGGGACAGUUGGGGGCAUUUGUAUUUCGGUGCUAGAGGUGAAAUUCUUAGAUUACCGAAAGACAAACUGCUGCGAAAGCGUCUGCCAAGGAUGUUUUCAUUGA